AGAUGACCUAAGACACUGACAGCAGAACCAAAGGAGCAACUGAAAGCCAGGAAAGUCAGCGGUUUGCUGCUUGACCUGUUUUUCUCUAGAAAGCUUGUCAGACACCUUUUGGAUGCUUUUCUGUAUCCUCCAGGAAAUAAUUCUUCCUCCUGCACGCAAAGACACACGACAUGCUCAUUUACCCGCACGUGUGCGAAACCAGAUUAACUACUCCAUAAAUUAGUUAGAAGAUUUUCCCAGAGAAAAUGAAGAGGAAAGACAUGUAAUUUCCACUUCUCAACUCCUGAAUGAAUGAAUGAAGAUACUCUGUCUGCUCUGU
Molecule: long non-coding RNA, 319 nt
Organism: Strigops habroptila (Kakapo)
Lineage: Eukaryota; Metazoa; Chordata; Aves; Psittaciformes; Psittacidae
Exons: 3
Source: RefSeq, a predicted model, not a curated record